Molecule: non-coding RNA, 73 nt
Organism: Candidatus Accumulibacter phosphatis
Lineage: Bacteria; Pseudomonadati; Pseudomonadota; Betaproteobacteria
Source: Rfam
GGCCAAGUAGCUCAGUUGGUAGAGCAGCGGACUGAAAAUCCGCGUGUCCGUGGUUCGAUUCCGCGCUUGGCCA